UGGGGAAUAUUGCACAAUGGGGGAAACCCUGAUGCAGCGACGCCGCGUGAACGAAGAAGGUAUUCGUAUCGUAAAGUUCUGUCCUAUGGGAAGAUAAUGACAGUACCAUAGAAGAAAGCUCCGGCUAAAUACGUGCCAGCAGCCGCGGUAAUACGUAUGGAGCGAGCGUUGUCCGGAAUUAUUGGGCGUAAAGGGUACGCAGGCGGUUUAAUAAGUCGAAUGUUAAAGAUCGGGGCUCAACCCCGUAAAGCAUUGGAAACUGAUAAACUUGAGUAGUGGAGAGGAAAGUGGAAUUCCUAGUGUAGUGGUGAAAUACGUAGAUAUUAGGAGGAAUACCAGCAGCGAAGGCGACUUUCUGGACACAAACUGACGCUGAGGUACGAAAGCGUGGGGAGCAAACAGG
Molecule: ribosomal RNA, 403 nt
Filed under: bacterium
Lineage: Bacteria
Also listed under: 1 other name
Description: partial 16S ribosomal RNA
Rfam family: Bacterial small subunit ribosomal RNA
Source: RNAcentral